CUGGUUGAUCCUGCCAGAGGUUACUGCUAUCGAGAUUCGACUAAGCCAUGCGAGUCGAAUGUUCCUCGUGAACAUGGCGAACUGCUCAGUAACACGUGGACAACCUACCCUUGGGUUCGGCAUAAUCCUGGGAAACUGGGGAUAAUACCGGAUAGGUCACGGCUGCUGGAAUGCACUGUGGCUCAAAGCUCCGGCGCCCAAGGAUGGGUCUGCGGCCUAUCAGGGUUGUAGUGGGUGUAAUGUACCUACUAGCCUACGACGGGUACGGGUUGUGAGAGCAAGAGCCCGGAGAUGGAUUCUGAGACACGAAUCCAGGCCCUACGGGGUGCAGCAGGCGCGAAAACUUUACAAUGCGGGAAACCGUGAUAAGGGAAUCUCGAGUGCCAGCAUAUAAUGUUGGCUGUCCAGAUGCCUAAAAAGCAUCUGUUAGCAAGGGCCGGGCAAGACCGGUGCCAGCCGCCGCGGUAACACCGGCGGCCCGAGUGGUAACCGCUAUUAUUGGGUCUAAAGGGUCUGUAGCCGGCCAGGUAAGUCCCUUGGGAAAUCUGGCAGCUCAACUGUCAGGCUGCUAGGGGAUACUGUUUGGCUUGGGACCGGGAGAGGUGAGAGGUAGCUUGGGGGUAGGGGUGAAAUCUUGUGAUCCUCGGGGGACCACCAGUGGCGAAUGCGUCUCACCAGAACGGGUCCGACGGUCAGGGACGAAAGCUAGGGGCACGAACCAGAUUAGAUACCCGGGUAGUCCUAGCCGUAAACGAUGCUCGCUAGGUGUCAGUCACGGUGCGACCGUGAUUGGUGCCGUAGGGAAGCCGUGAAGCGAGCCACCUGGGAAGUAUGGCCGCAAGGCUGAAACUUAAAGGAAUUGGCGGGGGAGCACCAC
RNAcentral lists this ribosomal RNA (877 nucleotides) under uncultured archaeon. Its description in RNAcentral is "bacterial SSU rRNA". It matches the Rfam family "Archaeal small subunit ribosomal RNA", at positions 4 to 882 of the family's 1478-position model. The record is from RNAcentral.